RNAcentral lists this long non-coding RNA (549 nucleotides) under Brachypodium distachyon (stiff brome). Its description in RNAcentral is "long non-coding RNA (BDIS_LNC003319)". The record is from RNAcentral. Lineage: Eukaryota; Viridiplantae; Streptophyta; Magnoliopsida; Poales; Poaceae.
GGCAAACAGAGGGGAAAGAGAGAGGGGAGGCUGGGCUUUAUAGGGAUGCGCGCGGCGGGUUUCGGGAUGGCCGGAAUCGGCGGGCGCGGUGAUGGCGGCGGCGACGGCGCGGCGCGGGUCGGCGGCGGAGAUCAUGGGCGGGCUUCCUUCGGGGACGAAGGAACUGACAGGUGGGCCCCACCUGUCAGUGGCUCGCGGCGGGCGUGCGUGCGCUGGGCCGGUCUGGCUCGGUCAGUUCGCACGGGACGGGGACGGUUCGGUCCGGUUUUCUCCUUUUUUUUCUAUUCUUUUUCCUUUUCUGUUUUUCUUUGAUAUCUUUUGAUUUUGAACUCCAAAUUGGUCCAAAUAAAUUUCAGAAAAUUUGUAAAAUCAUGUUUUAUCAUGAUUCAACUUUUGGAACAAAAUUCCCUUCAAAAUAAAUUAUAGAAAAAUACAUUUGCCCUAUAAAUGCCUUUAGGGCUAUAUAACUAUUUAAAUAAAAUAGUUUUUCAACUCCAAAUAAAUACCCAAAAAUAUGGGAUAGCUUAUUUAUGCAAUAAACCCCAUUUA